UGGCGGACGGGUGAGUAACGCGUAUGAAUCUGCCUUUGAGAGCGGGACAACUUGGGGAAACUCGAGCUAAUACCGCAUGUUGCCUGAGGGUAAAAGAGGGGGUGUUAAAGCCUCUUGCUCGAAGAUGAGCCUGCGUCGGAUUAGCUAGUUGGUGGGGUAAAGGCCUACCAAGGCGAUGAUCCGUAGCUGGUCUGAGAGGACGGACAGCCACACUGGGACUGACACACGGCCCAGACUCCUACGGGAGGCAGCAGUGGGGAAUAUUGGACAAUGGGGGCAACCCUGAUCCAGCAAUGCCGCGUGUGUGAAGAAGGCCUGCGGGUUGUAAAGCACUUUAGUGGGGGAGGAAGGUUGAUGUGUGAAUAUCACAUCUCAUUGACGUUACCCAAAGAAUAAGCACCGGCUAACUCUGUGCCAGCAGCCGCGGUAAUACAGAGGGUGCGAGCGUUAAUCGGAAUUACUGGGCGUAAAGGGCGCGUAGGCGGUUUACUAAGUUGGAUGUGAAAGACCCGGGCUUAACCUGGGAAUUGCAUCCGAGACUGUGAGACUCGAGUCGUGUACAGGGGAGUGGAAUUUCCGGUGUAGCGGUGAAAUGCGUAGAUAUCGGAAAGAACACCGGUGGCGAAGGCGGCUUCCUGGACACAGACUGACACUGAGGCUCGAAAGCGUGGGGAGCAAACAGGAUUAGAUACCCUGGUAGUCC
Molecule: ribosomal RNA, 703 nt
Filed under: uncultured bacterium
Lineage: Bacteria
Description: bacterial SSU rRNA
Rfam family: Bacterial small subunit ribosomal RNA
Source: RNAcentral